RNAcentral lists this unclassified non-coding RNA (1900 nucleotides) under Hevea brasiliensis (rubber tree). The record is from RNAcentral. Lineage: Eukaryota; Viridiplantae; Streptophyta; Magnoliopsida; Malpighiales; Euphorbiaceae.
CAUGCCUCGUCUGAGCAAUCCCAAUGGGCAGCAACCAGCCAGUACAUUGCUGUCUCAUACUCACUGAACAAAGGUCAGUUCUUCCAAUUCCGACUGCUGAUUUCGCCAAAACUGUUUGGGAUUCAGGGAAACAGGAGCAAAAACAAAGCUAAACGAUAAACCAAGGUACAUUAGUUUCAUUUUCAGCUAAUUUUCAAAUUAUUCGAAUCGAUCUACGGAUUACAGCCAUUCAGCCAAUCUAUUUUGGAACAUUUCCAUGCGAUUUCGCAGCUGAAAAGAUCAAUUUUGUUGUUAGCUUUAGAAUUCUUGACAAUGGAGAUGAAUUAGAAAGAAAGAAAAAGUGUGAUUAGUUUUUGGAAUUCAUUAAUGUUGAAAAUUAAAAUAUGGAAGUGGAACCUAAAUCACCUUCGAAGAUUAAGCUUUCAAUCAUGGGUUUCACUCGGUAUAAACGGGUCAUGAGAAUAUGUAUAGUUAGUCUAGUGAUUUUGUUGUUAUUGGCUGGUGGUUAUUUCACAUUUGAGCCGAGCAAGGCUCGCGACUUAGUAAAGGGUGAUUACUAUGCGGUUGCCAAUUGAGGAUGCUAGGCAUGUUUUGGAUGAUGUGGAGCAUGUGCCGAAGGAACACACAUUUGUUUCUCGAAGAAGUUGGAUAAGGGUAUUGGGUGGGAAAGAAGAAGCUUAUUAUGGCUGGGUGGCUUUGAACUAUAAAAUGGGGAAUUUGGGAAAUUCAUUGCAGGGGCCUACACUGGGACUUCUAGAUCUGGGAGGUUCAUCAUUGCAGGUUGUUGUGGAAGUUCAUGAUGGGGCAAGAGACAAUAUGCACUUGAUACGAACAAAGAUUGGCUCCGUUGGACACCAGAUUUUAGCAUACUCAUUGCCAUCAGUUGGCUUGAACGAGGCAUUUGAUAGAACAGUUGCCAUGCUCCGGCAGUUGCAACCCAUUAAAGGAAGUACUGAUUAAAAAUUCAAACUCAGGCAUCCUUGUCUACGUUCUGAUUUUCUGCAAAAUUAUACUUGCUAUGCUUGCAAUGGGCCUAACAUCAUUCAUAAAAAGAAUUUGGGUGGUCAAAGUCAUAAAAGUGAAUAUAUUUAUUUGGUUGGAGAUCCAGAUUGGGAGCAAUGCAAAGUAAUUGCCAGGGCUGCUGCUCUUAACUUGAGCAGUUCAGAUUGGUCACAGCCAACAGUCACUAAUUGGAAAGCAAGACUGUCUUCAUACAAUGGCUGUAGCAUUCUUAAUUUGACAGCUUACCCAACCGGACGCUUUCAUGCUUUGUCAGGAUUUUUUGCCAUUUACAACACACUAGAUCUGGUACCAAGAGCAAAUUUGACCAAGACCUGGGAGAGAGGUGUGCAGCUGUGCUCACAAUCAUGGGGUGACUCAAGCAACAUCUCCAGAAACCAAAACUACUUUGGACAGUACUGUUUCCGAGUCCCUUAUGUGGCAUCACUUCUUGAAGAUGCAUUGUGUCUAGGUGGUAAAGAAAUAGUAUUUGGUCCUGGGGAUCUAUCUUGAACCUCAGGAGCUGCACUUGUUGAAGGGGAGUACCUAUGGCUAAGCAUUUCCAAAACAAGCAUUUCAUCCCUGAAAAUCAUGGAUGUUAUGUAUUCCCCCAUUUUAGUUUUCUUAUUACUUAAGUCUCUCUUAUUUAUUGUUUACUGUAGUCAAAUCAAGCUCCCUAUGCUGGGAAACAAGGUUCCUACUGUUGGGCCAUCUUUGCCAUCUUACCUUUACCCAAAAAGCCGUCCAAAUUAAUGCUUCAUCACAGCCUUGUUAAGUAAAGAACUUGCCAGAUAUUAAUUAUUGUACCUUUCAUGUACAAUAAACAGUUCAUUCAUUCUUUUAGAUUAGAAAUAUCAGUUAGAAUGUGGAAAGCGUGUCUACAGGAUUCUGAUAAUUAUAA